Molecule: long non-coding RNA, 359 nt
Filed under: Gossypium barbadense (sea-island cotton)
Lineage: Eukaryota; Viridiplantae; Streptophyta; Magnoliopsida; Malvales; Malvaceae
Description: long non-coding RNA (GBAR_LNC015749)
Source: RNAcentral
UAGUUUUGGCUAUAUAAAGCCAUUUUUCAGCGUUUUGUAAGGGAGACGAAGAUUGAAUGUAAAAACGUACAGGCACACUGAAAUACAAAGAAAUUGAAAAAAGAAAUAAGAAACCAGUUCGAAGAAGGUGAUUUGGAGUUUUUUCUUUCUCUCGCUUUUUUCAUUAGAGAUUCUUUGAUUUUUUUUUCCUUUUAUUUACUGUUGAAAAAGGAAACAGAGGAAGAGUGAGGAGUUUACCUUCGUUGCGGAGCCAAAUCCUUGUCUUCUCCGUCGUAAUCGGAGGUCGGGCGAGGGAUCAGAGAGUAUUUGAGGGAUCGGUCUGCGAAGCGGCGCUGAGGGUUAUAGUUUUAGGUUUUUUU